Molecule: long non-coding RNA, 888 nt
Filed under: Salmo salar (Atlantic salmon)
Lineage: Eukaryota; Metazoa; Chordata; Actinopteri; Salmoniformes; Salmonidae
Description: lncRNA (ENSSSAG00000088605.1)
Source: RNAcentral
AAACAAUGCUAAUUGCGUCAGGGAAGUAUUAGCAUAUGUUGUAUUUUGAAGCUACCCUGGCUUUAUGACUCUCAAGUGGCACUACGUCUCAGUGCUAGAGGCGUCACUACAGACACCGAUCUUCAAAUCCAGACUGCGUUUCUAUCAAAGUGGUCCACCUUCCCUGUGGCCGACAUGGGUGCUGUAUGGACAGUGGAGAGGACAUGGACGACGUCUCGUUUGUCAUGGCACUUUACCGCCAGCUAUUAACAUUUUCUUAUUUUGUAUAACGGGUCAUUUAGGAUGGCAGUAGGGUUGUUGAUGAAAUGCAGUCAUAGCAGCAGAACUAGAAAGCAGUCUUGGGAAAAGAGGGUGGCAAAGAAGGGAGUUGCAAACAUCUGCUCCAGUAUUCUCUUAGGGAGUUCUUCUUUACUAUCCCCAAGAGAAGGACUGUCACCAGGAAGCUCAGUCACCAGUCAGAAACAACUUCAAGCACUCUGCCUCAGAUGGAAAUGGCAAGGGGCGUUGCACUCCAGACCGGGACUCAUCAACACAAACAGCAGGGCCAGGAGGGGUGAAAUGGCUGGCAGCCUUCCAGCUACUACAGAACUCCUGUAACUUCAUCCACUAUCGGUCUGCCUCCAUCACCACCAGCAUCUUCAAAGGGAACUGGGACUUUGUCAGUAGACAAGGGGUCCUCAGACAAGGGGUCCUCUGUCACUGUCAGAAUCUGAUUCCUGACUUUCAGACUCAGACUCAUUGUCAGAAUUUCUGCAUUUCUUAGUUGUCUCCUUUUGAAAGACAUUGCUAAUGCUACAGCUUAUCUCACUAGCUACAUACAUAAACAACAACACUGAAUGGCUCAGAGUGGGAGUGAGAGGUUACGUGAUUGACUGACUGCACGCGCCA